RNAcentral lists this ribosomal RNA (497 nucleotides) under uncultured bacterium. RNAcentral describes it as "partial 16S ribosomal RNA". It matches the Rfam family "Bacterial small subunit ribosomal RNA", at positions 28 to 507 of the family's 1533-position model. The record is from RNAcentral.
GAUGAACGCUGGCGGCGUGCCUAAUACAUGCAAGUCGAGCGAACGGACGAGAAGCUUGCUUCUCUGAUGCUAGCGGCGGACGGGUGAGUAACACGUGGAUAACCUACCUAUAAGACUGGGAUAACUUCGGGAAACCGGAGCUAAUACCGGAUGAUAUUUUGAACCGCAUGGUUCAAAAGUGAAAGACGGUCUUGCUGUCACUUAUAGAUGGAUCCGCGCUGCAUUAGCUAGUUGGUAAGGUAACGGCUUACCAAGGCAACGAUGCAUAGCCGACCUGAGAGGGUGAUCGGCCACACUGGAACUGAGACACGGUCCAGACUCCUACGGGAGGCAGCAGUAGGGAAUCUUCCACAAAGGGCGAAAGCCUGACGGAGCAACGCCGCGUGAGUGAUGAAGGUCUUCGGAUCGUAAAACUCUGUUAUUAGGGAAGAACAUAUGUGUAAGUAACUGUGCACAUCUUGACGGUACCUAAUCAGAAAGCCACGGAUAACUACGUG